Molecule: transfer RNA, 73 nt
Filed under: Candidatus Brocadiia bacterium
Lineage: Bacteria; Pseudomonadati; Planctomycetota; Candidatus Brocadiia
Description: tRNA-Asp
Rfam family: tRNA
About the family: Transfer RNA (tRNA) molecules are approximately 80 nucleotides in length.
Source: RNAcentral
GGGGGUGUCGUCCAGCGGCCAGGACACCGCCUUGUCACGGCGGAGAUCGCGGGUUCGAAUCCCGCCACCCUCG